CGGUCCAGACUCCUACGGGAGGCUGCAGUAGGGAAUCUUCCACAAUGGGCGAAAGCCUGAUGGAGCAACGCCGCGUGUGUGAUGAAGGCUUUCGGGUCGUAAAGCACUGUUGUAUGGGAAGAACAGCUAGAAUAGGAAAUGAUUUUAGUUUGACGGUACCAUACCAGAAAGGGACGGCUAAAUACGUGCCAGCAGCCGCGGUAA
This 204-nucleotide ribosomal RNA is filed under the name uncultured bacterium. Its description in RNAcentral is "partial 16S ribosomal RNA". It matches the Rfam family "Bacterial small subunit ribosomal RNA", at positions 327 to 523 of the family's 1533-position model. RNAcentral also lists the same sequence under 1 other name. The record is from RNAcentral.